AGUGAACGCUGGCGGCGUGCUUAACACAUGCAAGUCGAACGGAUCAAAGUAGCUUGCUAUUUUGGUUAGUGGCGCACGGGUGAGUAAUGUAUAGCUAACCUGCCCUCUAGUGGGGGACAACAGUUGGAAACGACUGCUAAUACCCCAUACUCCUUCUUGCCAAAAGGUGAGUCGGGAAAGAUUUAUUGCUAAAGGAUGGGGCUUUAUGGUAUCAGCUAGUUGGUGAGGUAAUGGCUCACCAAGGCUAUGACGCCUACCUGGUCUGAGAGGAUGAUCAGGCACACUGGAACUGAGACACGGUCCAGACUCCUACGGGAGGCAGCAGUGGGGAAUAUUGCACAAUGGAGGAAACUCUGAUGCAGCAACGCCGCGUGGAGGAUGACGCAUUUCGGUGCGUAAACUCCUUUUAUAAGGGAAGAUAAUGACGGUACCUUAUGAAUAAGCACCGGCUAACUCCGUGCCAGCCGCCGCCGUAA
Molecule: ribosomal RNA, 476 nt
Filed under: uncultured bacterium
Lineage: Bacteria
Description: partial 16S ribosomal RNA
Rfam family: Bacterial small subunit ribosomal RNA
Source: RNAcentral